Long non-coding RNA from Ornithorhynchus anatinus (platypus), 1038 nucleotides. RefSeq lists it as uncharacterized. Lineage: Eukaryota; Metazoa; Chordata; Mammalia; Monotremata; Ornithorhynchidae. The record is from RefSeq and is a predicted model, not a curated record. The transcript has 5 exons.
ACGGGGCUUCCCGCGGGGCCCGCUGAGGGGGCCGGGCGGGGGAAGGGGAAGGGGCCUCACCCCGCCGGUGUUGGCGCCUCCGGUGUGGGUCGGGGCCCGAAAUAUAAUUCGGUCUACAUUUUAUAUGGUAUCUUCAGAAGAAAUUGCAGUCACUCUCAGAAGUUAAUUCUAACCCAGUUAAAGACCGGCAGAAAUUGGAGAGGCAAAGAAAAAAAUGGAAAUCAUCAUACUAAAGCUUACAGGUGCUCCUCCAUGACUCUCAAGGACUUUCGAUGCCACUUAUAGCCAAGGUGAAUGGCAAGUUUCCUCUGAAUUGAAAACGGACCUACACUUUCUUCCAAGACCCGUGCCACAGCCUGAAAUAGGGGUAUCGAUGAAGGAAUUGAACAUGGAUGGCCCCAGCACACAUUUAUUCUACUGGUGAUAAGGAAAAGACUGUACUGGCCCUAUUAGCACAGAGUAUCUUUUAGAUGUCUGUAAACUUCUGGAAGUUGCCCCUCUACUUCUCCUGCACUUGUCGUGCUGCAAAGAUCAAGUAUAUUGUUUUCUAAGGCCACAUUACCAUUUAGGGGAUAUGGCUUCUCUAGAGGAAUGGGAGCGGGGAGGAGAAAUGCAGACAUCAAGAAGUACUUCUUGAGAGCAUAAAAUUGUACUCAAAAAGUUCUUACCCCUGUUUCUGUCCAGUCCACGCUAAAAACUUUGUCUUCAUGAGCAGCCAAAUCAUAGAGAGGUGCUUUGCAACUAAGAAGAGAGGUUUAUCACAUUAGUAGGCAACACAUAUCAAAUAGGAUGAAGAUUCUCAGGAAUUCAGUGUGACCUCCCACAACGGAACGCCCCUCUCCAGCGGGCAUCUGAUUUGGAGACUGACAGGUACCAAGCAAGCACGAUCGUCUGAUCCAUGGAGGCAGUGACGAGCAGGCAAGACAGACCAUCUGCAGAGCGAAUACGGCACAGGCCACGUCUUUCACCACUUCUGAAUGUCCAGCAAUUGUCAUAAUGGACUUUCCUUCCAAGGACCAUAUCCGAGCCGUCUUAUCG